GGACCGCACAAGCGGUGAGCAUGUGGUUUAAUUCGAAGCAACGCGAAGACCCUUACCAGGUCUUGACAUGCCGAUGACCGGUCCGUAAUGGGCCUUCCCUUCGGGGCAUCGGACACAGGUGGUGCAUGGUUGUCGUCAGCUCGUGUCGUGAGAUGUUGGGUUAAGUCCCGCAACGAGCGCAACCCUUGUCAUUAGUAACCAGCAGUAAGAUGGGGACUCUAAUGAGACUGCCCGGGACAACCGGGAGGAAGGCGGGGAUGACGUCAAAUCAUCAUGCCCCUUAUGACCUGGGCUACACACGUGCUACAAUGGCGUAAACAGAGGGAAGCAAUACUGCAAAGUGGAGCAAAACCGAUAAAAUACGUCUCAGUUCGGACUGUGGCCUGCAACCCGGCCACACGAAGCCGGAAUCGCUAGUAAUCGCAGAUCAGCAUGCUGCGGUGAAUACGUUCCCGGGUCUUGUACACACCGCCCGUCACACCAUGGGAGCCGGUAACGCCCGAAGCCUGUGACCCAACAAUCGAGGGAGCAGUCCACGGCGGGAUCGGUAACUGGGGUG
Molecule: ribosomal RNA, 559 nt
Filed under: uncultured rumen bacterium
Lineage: Bacteria
Description: bacterial SSU rRNA
Rfam family: Bacterial small subunit ribosomal RNA
Source: RNAcentral